Molecule: long non-coding RNA, 428 nt
Filed under: Cricetulus griseus (Chinese hamster)
Lineage: Eukaryota; Metazoa; Chordata; Mammalia; Rodentia; Cricetidae
Description: lncRNA (ENSCGRG00015038822.1)
Source: RNAcentral
CAAGGUGGCAAACAAGAGUACAGCCUGGUGGCCAGAGAAAGAGAGACAACAAAGGUCUGGAAGCUUCCCUUGGGACAGCAAGGGCAAGGAUGUAGACACAGAAGAUAGGCUGGUAAUUAGAGCUUGGAAAACCCGUGACGUCCCUGGAAACUCUAGGGCUGAGAAUUCGGUGCUUGUAGAGGCCAGAAGAGGAUGUCAGAUCCCCUGGAGCUGGAGUUACACAGGUGGUUGUGAGCUGCCCAGCAUGGACACUGGGGACUGAACUCCUGUCCUCUGAAGGAGCAAGAAACACUCCUCAAUGCCAAGCCAUCCCUCCAGCCCCUCAAACUGGUCUUGAAGAGGCAAAAUAUUUUUCUUAUCCUACAGGUGGUGUGGCCUUGAGCAAGCAACUCCACAUUUCUGCUGUAAGCCUCAUCUGUACACUGAGG